This 420-nucleotide ribosomal RNA is filed under the name bacterium. RNAcentral describes it as "partial 16S ribosomal RNA". It matches the Rfam family "Bacterial small subunit ribosomal RNA", at positions 355 to 776 of the family's 1533-position model. The record is from RNAcentral.
UGGGGGAUAUUGCACAAUGGGCGAAAGUCUGAUGCAGCGACGCAGCGUGGGUGAUGACGGCAUUCGGGUUGUAAACCUCUUUCGCUAUCGAACAAGGCCCGCUUAGGGUGGGUUGAGGGUAGGUGGAGAAGAAGCGCCGGCUAACUACGUGACAGCAGUCGCGGUAAUACGUAGGGCGCGAGCGUUGUCCGGAAUCAUUGGGCGUAAAGGGCUUUUAGGCGGCUUGUUGCGCCUGCUGUGAAAACGCGGGGCUUAACUUCGCGCGUGCAGUGAGUACGGGCGGGCUUGAGUGUGGUAGGGGGGAGUAGAAUUCCAGGUGUAGCGGUGGAAUGCGAAGAUAUCUGGAGGAACAACGAUGGCGAAGGAAGGUCACUGGGACAUUACUGACGCUGAGGAGCGAAAGCAUGGGUAGCGAACAGG